Molecule: microRNA precursor, 125 nt
Filed under: Brassica oleracea var. oleracea
Lineage: Eukaryota; Viridiplantae; Streptophyta; Magnoliopsida; Brassicales; Brassicaceae
Description: MIR9563 microRNA precursor family
Rfam family: MIR9563 microRNA precursor family
Source: Rfam by way of RNAcentral
AGAAUAUAAAAAUCCGUCUCUUAACUUUUAAUUAAAAAAACUAAAAACCGUCUCUUAAAACUCUUAUUUAAGAACCGGUUCUUAGCUUUUUUAGUUAAAAGUUAAGAGACAAGUUCUUAUAUUCC